Molecule: ribosomal RNA, 1136 nt
Filed under: Monoraphidium convolutum
Lineage: Eukaryota; Viridiplantae; Chlorophyta; Chlorophyceae; Sphaeropleales; Selenastraceae
Description: SSU rRNA
Rfam family: Eukaryotic small subunit ribosomal RNA
Source: RNAcentral
UCAAAGAUUAAGCCCAUGCCAGGUUUUAAAGUUUUAAAACUGCUUUUUUACUUGGGGAAAACUGGGGAAAGGGCUCCAUUAAAAUUCAAGUUAUUAGGUUUAUUUGGAAGGGUACCCUCCUACCACGGGAUAAACCGUAGUUAAUUUCUAGAGACUAAUUACGUGCCGUAAAAUCCCCGACCUUCCUGGAAGGGGACGUAUUUUUUUAGAUAAAAAGGACCGACCCGGGCCUCUGCCCCGACCCCGCCGGUGAAAUCAUGAUAAACUUCACGAAUUCGCAUAGUCCUUGUGGCAGGGCGAUGUUUUCAUUUCUAAGUUUCUGUCCUAUCAACAUUCGAUGGUAGGGAUAGAGGCCUACCAUGGUGGUAUCGGGUGACGGAGGAUUAGGGUUCGAUUCCGGAGAGGGAGCAUGAGAAUCGGCUAUCCCAUGCAAGGAAGGCAGCAGGCGCGCAAACUAUCCAAUCCUGAUACGGGGAGGUAGUGACAAUAAAUAACAAUACCGGGCAUUCAAUGUCUGGUAAUAGGAAUGAGUACAAUAUAAAUCCCUGAACGAGGAUCCAUGGGAGGGCAAGUCUGGUGCCAGCAGCCGCGGUAAUUCCAGCUCCAAUAGUGUAUAUUUAAGUUCUUGCAGUUAAAAAGCUCGUAGUUGGAUUUCUGGGUGGGUUCCAGCGGUCCGCCUAUGGUGAGUACUGCUGUGGUCCUCCUUUCUGUCGGGGACGGGCUCCUGGGCUUCACUGCUCGGGACUCGGAUUCGGCGAUGAUACUCUGAGUAAAUUAGAGUGUUCAAAGCACGCGUACGCUCUGAAUACUUCAGCAUCGAAUAUCGCGAUAGGACUCUGGCCUAUCUCGUUGGUCUGUAGGACCGGAGUAAUGAUUAAGAGGGACAGUCGGGGGCAUUCGUAUUUCAUUGUCAGAGGUGAAAUUCUUGGAUUUAUGAAAGACGAACUACUGCGAAAGCAUUUGCCAAGGAUGUUUUCACUAAUCAAGAACGAAAGUUGGGGGCUCGAAGACGAUUAGAGACCGUCGUAGUCUCAACCAUAAACGAUGCCGACUAGGGAUUGGAGGAUGUUCUUUUGAUGACUUCUUCCAGCACCUUAUGAGAAAUCAAAGUCUUUGGUUCCGGGGGAGUUGCCCCC